GAAGCUAUAGUGAGCAUUUGUCAACAAAGAUUGAUUGCCCCUCCAUGUUGCCAGCUCUUGAGGAUUUCUUUCACCUUCUUCUUGAUCAAAAUGGAUCCACCACCUAAAAGCCCCCCAUGCAUUUCAUGAUUGAUACUUAAGGAAGGAGCAAGCGACACUUCAUAGGGCACCUUCACCACCCAUACAGUCUACCCACUCCGUCUAGAAUUUCUGGAAAACAGUGUGAAAAAACACAUUGAUGAAGUAAUAGAAGUUGAUACGGUGAGGAUUGCUAAGUACAAUCUUUCUCCUGCAUGUUGCUCCUCAU
Molecule: long non-coding RNA, 307 nt
Organism: Erigeron canadensis
Lineage: Eukaryota; Viridiplantae; Streptophyta; Magnoliopsida; Asterales; Asteraceae
Exons: 3
Source: RefSeq, a predicted model, not a curated record